GGUGAGUAACACGUGGAUAACCUACCUAUAAGACUGGGAUAACUUCGGGAAACCGGAGCUAAUACCGGAUAAUAUAUUGAACCGCAUGGUUCAAUAGUGAAAGACGGUUUUGCUGUCACUUAUAGAUGGAUCCGCGCCGCAUUAGCUAGUUGGUAAGGUAACGGCUUACCAAGGCAACGACGCGUAGCCGACCUGAGAGGGUGAUCGGCCACACUGGAACUGAGACACGGUCCAG
This 235-nucleotide ribosomal RNA is filed under the name uncultured Staphylococcus sp. RNAcentral's name for it is "partial 16S ribosomal RNA". It matches the Rfam family "Bacterial small subunit ribosomal RNA", at positions 105 to 334 of the family's 1533-position model. The record is from RNAcentral. Lineage: Bacteria; Bacillati; Bacillota; Bacilli; Caryophanales; Staphylococcaceae.